GCAGUCGUGGCCGAGUGGUUAAGGCGAUGGACUAGAAAAUCAUUAUGGUCUCCACGCACUGAUUCGAAUCCUGGCGACUGCG
Molecule: non-coding RNA, 82 nt
Organism: Ixodes scapularis (black-legged tick)
Lineage: Eukaryota; Metazoa; Arthropoda; Arachnida; Ixodida; Ixodidae
Source: Rfam